Molecule: ribosomal RNA, 445 nt
Filed under: uncultured bacterium
Lineage: Bacteria
Description: partial 16S ribosomal RNA
Rfam family: Bacterial small subunit ribosomal RNA
Source: RNAcentral
CCUACGGGGGGCAGCAGUCGAGAAUCAUUCACAAUGGGGGAAACCCUGAUGGUGCGACGCCGCGUGGGGGAAUGAAGGUCUUCGGAUUGUAAACCCCUGUCAUGUGGGAGCAAAUUAAAAAGAUAGUACCACAAGAGGAAGAGACGGCUAACUCUGUGCCAGCAGCCGCGGUAAUACAGAGGUCUCAAGCGUUGUUCGGAAUCACUGGGCGUAAAGCGUGCGUAGGCUGUUUCGUAAGUCGUGUGUGAAAGGCGCGGGCUCAACCCGCGGACGGCACAUGAUACUGCGAGACUAGAGUAAGGGAGGGGGAACCGGAAUUCUCGGUGUAGCAGUGAAAUGCGUAGAUAUCGAGAGGAACACUCGUGGCGAAGGCGGGUUCCUGGACAUUAACUGACGCUGAGGCACGAAGGCAGGGGAGCGAAAGGGAUUAGAUACCCCUGUAGUC